Molecule: ribosomal RNA, 274 nt
Filed under: uncultured bacterium
Lineage: Bacteria
Description: partial 16S ribosomal RNA
Rfam family: Archaeal small subunit ribosomal RNA
Source: RNAcentral
AAACCAGCACCUCAAGUGGUCAGGAUGAUUAUUGGGCCUAAAGCAUCCGUAGCCUGCUCUGUAAGUUUUCGGUUAAAUCUGUACGCUCAACGUACAGGCUGCCGGGAAUACUGCAGAGCUAGGGAGUGGGAGAGGUAGACGGUACUCGGGAGGAAGUGGUAAAAUGCUUUGAUCUCUCGAUGACCACCUGUGGCGGAGGCGGUCUACCAGAACACGUCCGACGGUGAGGGAUGAAAGCUGGGGGAGCAAACCGGAUUAGAAACCCCGGUAGUCC